This 526-nucleotide ribosomal RNA is filed under the name Rhizobium sp. RNAcentral describes it as "bacterial SSU rRNA". It matches the Rfam family "Bacterial small subunit ribosomal RNA", at positions 228 to 771 of the family's 1533-position model. Lineage: Bacteria; Pseudomonadati; Pseudomonadota; Alphaproteobacteria; Hyphomicrobiales; Rhizobiaceae. The record is from RNAcentral.
AGCCCGCGUUGGAUUAGCUAGUUGGUGGGGUAAAGGCCUACCAAGGCGACGAUCCAUAGCUGGUCUGAGAGGAUGAUCAGCCACAUUGGGACUGAGACACGGCCCAAACUCCUACGGGAGGCAGCAGUGGGGAAUAUUGGACAAUGGGCGCAAGCCUGAUCCAGCCAUGCCGCGUGAGUGAUGAAGGCCCUAGGGUUGUAAAGCUCUUUCACCGGAGAAGAUAAUGACGGUAUCCGGAGAAGAAGCCCCGGCUAACUUCGUGCCAGCAGCCGCGGUAAUACGAAGGGGGCUAGCGUUGUUCGGAAUUACUGGGCGUAAAGCGCACGUAGGCGGAUCGAUCAGUCAGGGGUGAAAUCCCAGGGCUCAACCCUGGAACUGCCUUUGAUACUGUCGAUCUGGAGUAUGGAAGAGGUGAGUGGAAUUCCGAGUGUAGAGGUGAAAUUCGUAGAUAUUCGGAGGAACACCAGUGGCGAAGGCGGCUCACUGGUCCAUUACUGACGCUGAGGUGCGAAAGCGUGGGGAGCAA